RNAcentral lists this ribosomal RNA (391 nucleotides) under uncultured bacterium. RNAcentral describes it as "bacterial SSU rRNA". It matches the Rfam family "Bacterial small subunit ribosomal RNA", at positions 30 to 417 of the family's 1533-position model. The record is from RNAcentral.
AUUAAACGCUGGCGGCAUGCCUUACACAUGCAAGUCGAACGGCAGCACGGGGUGGUAACACUCUGGUGGCGAGUGGCGGACGGGUGAGUAAAGCAUCGGAACGUGCCCUGGAAUGGGGGAUAACGUAGCGAAAGUUACGCUAAUACCGCAUAUUCUGUGCGCAGGAAAGCAGGGGCUCGCAAGACCUUGCGUUCUGGGAUCGGCCGAUGUCGGAUUAGCUAGUUGGUGGGGUAAAGGCCUACCAAGGCGACGAUCCGUAGCGGGUCUGAGAGGAUGAUCCGCCACACUGGGACUGAGACACGGCCCAGACUCCUACGGGAGGCAGCAGUGGGGAAUUUUGGACAAUGGGCGCAAGCCUGAUCCAGCCAUGCCGCGUGAGUGAAGAAGGCCU